RNAcentral lists this transfer RNA (72 nucleotides) under Candidatus Pacearchaeota archaeon. RNAcentral describes it as "tRNA-Phe". It matches the Rfam family "tRNA". Rfam says of the family: Transfer RNA (tRNA) molecules are approximately 80 nucleotides in length. The record is from RNAcentral. Lineage: Archaea; Nanobdellati.
GGAGCUCUAGCUCAUUGGGAGAGCACAUGACUGAAGAUCAUGGUGUACCGGGUUCGAUUCCCGGGAGCUCCA